Molecule: ribosomal RNA, 120 nt
Organism: Poecilia mexicana
Lineage: Eukaryota; Metazoa; Chordata; Actinopteri; Cyprinodontiformes; Poeciliidae
Source: Ensembl
ACCUACAAUGAAACUCCACUGGUUAAGCCUGUUCUCGUCCGAUCACAGAAGCAAAGCGGUGUCAGGCCUGCUCAGUACUUGGAUGGGAGACCACCUUGGAAUUCCAGGUGCAGUUCGGUU